Small nuclear RNA from Sorex fumeus (smoky shrew), 193 nucleotides. RefSeq annotates it as U2 spliceosomal RNA. The record is from RefSeq and is a predicted model, not a curated record. The transcript has a single exon. Lineage: Eukaryota; Metazoa; Chordata; Mammalia; Eulipotyphla; Soricidae.
AUAAUUCCUUAAUCUUUUGACUAAAAUCAAGUGUAUAAUUUCUUGUCAUCAAUUUUAUAUCUGAUAUGCCCUUGUUCUGCUGACAAUAUGUUAAUGGAAUUUUGGAGCAGGGAGAUGGAACAGGAGAUUUCUCUGCCCGUGCCAUAUGUUGAUCUUGUGGUAUUGCAAUGCUGCCAGUAGUGGUGCCCCCACU